Molecule: long non-coding RNA, 1678 nt
Organism: Oreochromis niloticus (Nile tilapia)
Lineage: Eukaryota; Metazoa; Chordata; Actinopteri; Cichliformes; Cichlidae
Exons: 6
Source: RefSeq, a predicted model, not a curated record
AUGUUAUCAGUCCAUACAGGAGUUAUUAGCAGACAUCAGUCCCAUAGAUAUGGGCCAUCUCCACCUGCUAGAUUGUUCAGAAGGUUGUUAUCAUCCAUCCAGAUGGAGGAUCACUAACAGGAGCGUGGGAAGACUCCAGAAUCCACUCCGGCUGGAAUCCGGUGGACACAGCAGUGUUUACAGAACAGUUCUUCACAGUCGCUGUCCACAUGGGUCAGUGGGACCAAGCAGCACUCUGCUAAUGUGAGACUCUGACCAGCAACAUCCAGCAAGACCCAAGCAGCGUUUUCUAUCUCCCAGCUGGAGUUUUUUGUUUGUCUGUGACUGGAGAGUCAGAUUUUUGUUGAGGCUGGAGGAACAGCCUCACACUUGCAGAGGUUAAUACACUCUACUGAUCCCUGAUGGGAGCAUCAUCACCUCUGCCAACAAAGAAGCCUGGUGGAUGUUUGUUUGCAGUCUGAUGAUGGGAGAUCAUGCUGUGCAUCUUCAAAGUUUGUCUCUUGAUUAUUAUUCAUACACAGUAAUGUGAAGCAUGCUCAUAUCUAGUAUAACUGAACCAACCUGGUGCUCUUCAUUUAUGGAGGCUGUUGAGUCUGAAUGUUGGAUGUUGUGUAUCUCGUGUUCUCUGGGCUUUGUUGUCCUCAGUCUUUUUGCAGGAUCAGAAAACAAAACCAGAAUGACCGUAAAUGUUUCUUCUCCAAUUGGAUGAUGAUAAGACCGUGACAUGGGAUGCCACCUUUAGUCUUGUGAUGAAGCAAAGCUCAGGAAGAAGUAUGAUUAAAUGGUACCCACAUGUGUGCUGCUGAGAAGGAUGUACAGGGGCACCUGCAGCCAAAUCCAAGUCUCCUCAGCAACUUCAGGUCUGUCAGCGUGCUGAGGUCACAGAAACAAGAGAAGAAGCUUCAGACUUCAGAGUGUUGUUUACAGUUUUCUGUCAUCAUGAUCUCCCCUGAAGUUUAUCAAGCAAGGAGCAGUUUGUGCUCACAGAUGGUGACGGUGUGGAGAGACGGUGGUGUUUCCUCAGAAGAACUAGCAGAGUCACAAAGGGCACGAGUCCUUCUCACCACCUUGACUUGCUGACUGAUGCUCAUCUGCACUGCACAGAGGAAAUCAACUGACCGAGGAGUGUUUCUGAGUGAGGGAGAGAGGAGUCAUCAUCCAGGUAAAGUGACGUGGAUCAGUGGAUACACUUGUCUCACCUUUAAAGGAGAUACUCUUAGAGAGAGACGAAUCGUAAUGAUCAUGAUUACAAUGAUGACAGCGAGCGGAACUAAGACUGUAAAAAUCCACGACCAGAAUGUUUAGAUGCUUUCUAAUUAUUCAUGAAUACUGAGAGCCUCUUUCUGUGUUUUGUCUGUUUUGUUUUUUUUUACCUCAUUUGUUACUAACAAAGAUCACCAAACUCACACAGUUUACAUUCUGUAUGUUUCCAUCUUUACCAGCCACACUCUGCCUGCAAUUAAGAAAAUAAUCCUUAGCAAUCGUCAUUUUUCUCUUUUGUAAUUGAUGAUAAUUCAGUGAAUAUACUGCGCUGCUUCCUUUUAUUGCGUCUCAUAUUGCUUUAAGUUUUUCAGUGUACAGUUAUUUUUUUACUUCUGUUUGAAUUAAGAUAAGAUAAGAUAACCUUUAUUAGUCCCACACGUGGGAAAUUUCUCUGUAUGUUUGACCCUGUAGACUG